CUUAAAAGUGGUGGGGGGGAUUUUAUUUUAAGUUUACCAAAAAAAAGUUUAUGGAGUUGUUAAGUUUUAGUUUAAAAAUAACCUGAAAAGCUUUUUCACCCCCUGGAAGUUGUUGAAAACAGUUUUAUCCAAUCCUAUCACAACUCUAAUUUCUGAAGAGAGAAAGCCCACUAAGCCGAAACUUGGAAUGGUUUCCAUCCAUAGGCCUCAGUAUUUAAAGUGCCAGCUACUCUAGUUUGCACCUUCUGUAAAGGCCCUAGGUGGCCCCAAGAGUGACACGAAAUAAUCUCUGUGAGCUUGGAAAGGGAUAGCACCACCUGCCUUUGAUAAAACAAUUUAGCAAACCCUGGAUUCCCUUAAGGGUUUCCCUUCCAAUCCCAGAAAUGCUGUUAACCAGUCAGCUGGGCGGGGGCAGGAUCUGGCAUGCUAGGCUGGCCCUGAACUCCCUCUUGAGAGACCAAGAGAGGAAAUGAUGGAAUUGGUUGACCCUGUUUCCACUCCUCUGUGUUAAUUCUCAGGUUCUCAUGCCUUCCCUAAGGGAGCCACCUAAACUGCUCGGGGGUGAAAAAUCCUCUUGUAUGAAGUGCCAAGCUGCCUGCAGCAGUGCAUGAUGGACAUUUUUUUUCUUUUUAAAACACACCAACAAAAAAAUGUAUUUGUAGAUUGUGAUAAAGUGUAAAUAACUGAAUUUUCAACCAUGGUUUGAAGUCAGCUUUCAGGGCAUUAUGUCUUGUUUUGAUGAAAAGAGAUCACUCUAUACCCCCCUUUUUAAAGGAAAAUUAUCGCAAGAGAAUCAGGAUGUGUAAAGCUAACAUGCAUCGCAAAAAACCAAAGGUAACCUAAAUGUCUGAUUUUAAUAGCACAUAUUUCUCUUUUACAUAAACUGUGACAGCAACUUGCAUAAACAAUUCUUUAGCUGUUAAUUUUAAUGUUAAAACUUUGCAAAACUUGUUUAAUAAAAAUAGCUGUAAAAAGAAAAACCAUAUGCUGCCGCAUAAAUUAGCCAUAACUCUUAAUAAUCCUGCCCAUCACAAGUGAACUGUAAUGUAACCUGGGCACAAAGUCUGACAUCUUAAAUGACACAUUGUAAAAUUUCAAUGACUGUAGUUUAGACCUGCUGCUCCCCAAAGUAAAGCUUUCUGCUCAGCUAUUUUAAAAUGUACAAAGAUGAGCCCCUCUAGGUCCCCCAUAUUGAUAUUCACAAUGAAAUGUUACUUAAAAUUUCUUUAAAGUUGCAUGUCUCUCUCCUGUAAUGUGUAAACUGCAUGCAGGAUCUCUAUCUUUUAUUUUGUAUGUCUUUAAAACUCCCUCUUCAAACGACUGAUCUCUUGCUUCUCCAUUUUCAGGUAAUUGAAAACUCCUGAGACAUUUUCUGGAGUAGAAUGGGUAGUGAAGACCCAUGUCAGCCAUCAGAGGACUCCGGAAACCAGGAGAGCUGCCUGCUGUGUCAAGGCUGGCCUGAGGGCAUUUGCUGAGCAAAGAGAAACCCAGGAACGGAGAUCAACAGUCUUUUCCCACCCCACCUCUUGAUCUGUCUGAUUUACCCACAGAAAGCCAGCCAGGAUCCCCUAGGAGAGUCACUAGGCCCAGAAUGGAGUCCUCAGGGCUGCAGGGGACUGUGAUGCUAACAGUUAAACCUGCUUAGGACUUCAAAGAAUUGACGGGGGACUAACGCUAUCCCCAGCAUGGCCUCCUAGAUCUGAAUAAACUGGCAGUCCUUCUGUCUCUUUCCCAGUUUGCCUGCUUCCCCUUAGCCUUGAGCAGAACAAGCUGGAAUACCCCUACCACCACCUCCUGUUUCCCACCUUGCCACACCUGUGUUGUGAGUGCCAACCUGGGAGCCCUUGGACACUUCCAGAGGGCUCCCACAGAGAGGCUGGUCACCACCUCUGUAAUAGGCUGAGGAAAGCCAAGUGAGAAGAUUCAUUUACUUCGGGCAAGUUAUUUAACCUCUGAGCCUGUUUUUCUCUUCAUUGUUGAUUACUAACCUUGUCCAAAAAGCUCUUGAAGGGUAGGGCUUUUCCUUCACUUCUACUGUAUCCCUUCCCCAACAAAUAUCUGGCACUGAGGAGCUCAAUAAAGGUUUUGUCAAGUGAUGAAUGGUCCAGCUCCGGUAGCUUCUAUCAGCUUUGGGAGAGAGCCAAAGGCCCCCUGUCCAGCUCUCACUUUCCUUCCAUCUGCACUGGGCUAGCUACUUAUCCUAACAUCUUCUCUUGGAGAAUGGGAAAGCCAGCCUUUGAUACACUUCUGGUUUCCUGUGGCCUAUGCCCUAGGCUGAUUUUACACUAAGCUUUCUGAGAGGUUAGGGACCUCGAAUAUUGCAUUCUUCCUUUAUUGUCUUCUGGUUAUUUAUCCUAACAAGGGAGCAGGGGGACAGGCUGAGUUUGGGGAAAGAGCCUGUCUGCAUUUUAACUGCCUGGGGCAUUUUAAGGAGCUUGAAUUCCUUCUUGGCAGGAAGGGGACAUUGAAAUCAGUUAAUUUACUUUGGACCAUUUAUUUAACUUCUGAGCCCAUUUUUAUCUUCAUUAUUAUUAUUUUUAAAUGGUAGCUGAUUCUGUUCACAGCUAUUUAUUUUUAUGCUCCUUUUUUUUUUUUUUUUUUUU
RNAcentral lists this long non-coding RNA (2603 nucleotides) under Equus asinus (donkey). RNAcentral describes it as "lncRNA (ENSEASG00005033854.1)". Lineage: Eukaryota; Metazoa; Chordata; Mammalia; Perissodactyla; Equidae. The record is from RNAcentral.